AAAAAAAAAAAAAAAAUCCCUUGUUACACUCAUCGAAUUCUUGAACAAGCGAUCCAAAACCUUAUUUAAGAAAAGGGAAGGAAAAAAAAAUCUUUGGAACAAGCGAUCCAAAACCUUGUUAACCGACGCAUAUAUUUGAUAGCACGACAGAAUUCGAAGCGAUGGCCAGGAGCUCCUUCAAGUUGGAACACCCCUUGGGUUGUCUCUCUAUCUUUACCCAUCUUUGUAUUUAUCGAUUUCUUUCUUUUGAUUUGAUUUGCGGGUCUUUUAUAUGUAAUUUUGGAUUUUUUGAUCUGGGUUUAUGUUGGUUUUGACUAAAAUUUUCUUUUGAGGUUAAUAACAUGUCAUGGUUGUUCAUGGAUUUUGGAUUUACUUGCGGUUUCAACUUUCAAUAUCGAUCAUAUAUUGAUCUGCUGAAUACCAUAGUUGACCUUUUAGUUCGGGCCCUCUUACAUCAUGAAAUAAGGGUUUUCGAAGCUUAUUUCAGAUUCAUCUCUCGACUGUGUUUUGAUCUCGAGAUCGAUGUAAUUUCGUGUUUAAUUAUAUAUGUAACAUUAAAAGCAGAGAGGAAUUGAUCAAAUUAUAUGCUUAAUCUCUAGGAUAAGAGUUGAAUGUUAUGUUCAAUUUGAUCGAAUAGGUUUUACUGAGUUUUUGAAAUGCAUUAUUUUUUUCUUCUCACUAAUUCCUGUGCUCCAUUUGGGUUGGGGUGCAUUUGAAAUGAAUGAAAAUUUGGAUUUGUGUCUCAAGUGAAAAAUUAUAAAAUUUCAACAUAAUGUCAAGUUCAAUGCCUCAUCAUUUGAAAUUCACACCUAUCCAAAUGAAGCCUUAGUGAAUUUCAGUUUUACUGUGAAAUUUCCGGUGUGAUAGGCUUGAUGAAAGGGAAAAUACAUUGUGCAUUAGUUCUGAGGAUUGGUGUUCAAUCUGCUGAGUGGACUGGAUUCACUGGAAUUUUGGAUGUUUUGUAAUGGUGACAUCUUAUAUAUUGGCCAAGAGAUAAGUGGGGUAUUGAGAAAUAGAUAGAAAAACUUGUCAGUCAGAGAGAGGGACUGUUAUGAAUUAUGAGUUAAUAUUUAUUUUUAGUUGCAUUAACAUCUUAGAAUCUGGCUACGAACCUUUAAAUCAUCCCUAAAUUAGGGUAUGUCUGCACUUUUGUAUUCUGAUUUGUGAGAUUUCAAUGUGUAUUGGUAGCAAUUUGGAACGCAGAAUUUAAUCUGAUCAAACAUGUGGGAUAGUGAUAUAUCAUUUCCAUUUAUUCAAGUGUCUAAAGUAUAACAUUGAAUAUUUGAAUUGUGGACUAAUGAGCCAAUCAAGUAGGAUAUAGAAUUGGAAGUAUUAAACUUCUUCAUUUCUUGGAUUUUUUGGGUUUCUCUAGGACAACAUGGUAUUAUAGGUGCCUUUUUAUUGCAUUUCGUAAUGGAUAUAAUCUCGUAAAUUUCGAUACUAAAAGAAGCCUUUCCUCAGCAGUGUGCUCCAUGCUAGAUUUCUUUAUAUUUUCUAGUUAUCUUGCCAUUCCACGUGGCAUAGCAAUUCUUGUCUCAAGUAACUUUGAUUAAAAUUUAACAACCAUAACUACCAUAACUCUGAAAGAGUUAGAACAAUGAGUUUUAACUAAUUUUGUUGCCUCACUUGUUUAUUUGUUUGUUUAUGUGGACAACAAUAUCUGUUUCAAUUAAAAAAUCUAUGGAAUCAUUCCAUCACUAAAGCAAAAGCCUUUUACCCACUCAUACAUGUUAUCUAGCAUACUGCAGAACUUUUCUGUAAUUAUGAGAAGCAAUCUAAUAUCUUCCACCGUAUUGCUUUAUCUAUAAAUACCAGUUUACCAUUUCCUUAUAUUUUCAAUUAAUGGCUAUAUGUUUUUGUUUCCUCUUAAUUACAUUGCAGAAAGGAGGCAGGCAGAAUCAGCCCGUAUUAGGGAGAAGUAUCCUGAUAGAAUACCAGUAUGAAAGCCAUACUUUGUUCAUUAAUAAUGUAGUCUAUUUUUUGGAUAGAUCACAUGUAAUUUUUUGUUUCCUCAUUUUCUUUAAUGCUAAAUAGGUUAUUGUGGAGAGGGCUGAAAGAAGUGACAUACCUGACAUUGACAAAAAGAAGUUAGUGAUAUCUGCAUCUUUCCUUCUAAUUUAUCUUUUAUAUAUUUUAGUUGGAGCAUUAAUUAAUCAUUGCACAGUCUUUAGUGAACUAGGUCUCUUCUCGUGUAUUACGAUUUGCUUCUUUAAAUAGCAUUUGUUUGCCAAAUUUUACAUUUGUAGAUAGAUAGAUAUAUAGAUAGUGAGAGAGAGACUGAAAUAUUCUGAUAUCUUCCUAGUAUUCCAUGGUAUAUCACAUCAUCUUUUAUCGAAUAUGGUAAUCAGCAUGGUUCCAAAGUAGCUUGUUUGUUGGGAUUGAUGCGGCAUUAUGUACGUACUACUUAUACUAUGGAUAUUUAUAAAUUAUGGAAAGUUUGUUGGGUGUGCCAUCAGAAAGAUUUUUGUAAUCUAAAAGAGUUACUGCUUACAAAACUGAAGAGGAAAUGUUUGCUUUCCAGUACAAAUUCACGUAAUGAUUAUUCACAUCUUAAUUAUAUGGUCUGGUAUCUAUCAGGUCUCUUUUUGCUGAUUCUGGUUCUCACAUCAUUUUGGUUGCAGAUACCUGGUUCCAGCUGAUUUGACUGUUGGCCAGUUUGUUUAUGUGGUUCGGAAGAGAAUUAAGCUCAGUGCUGAGAAGGCUAUAUUCAUCUUUGUCAAGAAUGUUUUGCCGCCCACAGCUGCCAUGAUGUCAGCAAUUUACGAGGAAAACAAAGAUGAGGAUGGAUUCCUGUACAUGACCUAUAGCGGUGAGAACACCUUUGGGGCAUCAGUCAAGGGGUAGUCAAGCUGAAAUCAGGCAAGCUAAAAAGUUUGAGAUGACAGUGAACAUAUGUAAAUUCUUGGCUUUCUGUACUUACCAUGGACAAACCAUGUUUAAACUCAGGAUACUGCUCCUUACAGCCUGGAUACAAGACUGCUAUUUAACUUAAAUACUUGUGAUUUCUAUGAAUCUAGACGAGCAAAUUAAAUUAUGUGGUUCUUACUAGGCCAAUGUAAUGUUUCAGUAUGACAUUUCUGCUUCACUAACAGGUAUAUUUCUUACAAGAGCACCUUCUUGGUGGAUAGGAUUAAUGUGGUAAUUCGUGGUAAAUAAUUAUUUUUUGAAUUUACAUCAUCGUAAAAAUAGUUACAAAUAUCCAUCUCUAAUGCCCUGCCUUUGCCAUCUUCAA
RNAcentral lists this unclassified non-coding RNA (3232 nucleotides) under Hevea brasiliensis (rubber tree). The record is from RNAcentral. Lineage: Eukaryota; Viridiplantae; Streptophyta; Magnoliopsida; Malpighiales; Euphorbiaceae.